Molecule: ribosomal RNA, 253 nt
Filed under: uncultured bacterium
Lineage: Bacteria
Description: partial 16S ribosomal RNA
Rfam family: Bacterial small subunit ribosomal RNA
Source: RNAcentral
UACGUAGGGGGCAAGCGUUGUCCGGAUUUAUUGGGCGUAAAGAGCGUGUAGGCGGCCAUGUAGGUCCGUUGUGAAAACUCGAGGCUCAACCUCGAGACGCCGAUGGAAACCAUGUGGCUAGAGUCCGGAAGAGGAGAGUGGAAUUCCUGGUGUAGCGGUGAAAUGCGCAGAUAUCAGGAAGAACACCCGUGGCUAAGGCGGCUCUCUAGUACGGUACUGACGCUCAGGAGCGAAAGCGUGGGUAGCGAACAGG